RNAcentral lists this ribosomal RNA (253 nucleotides) under uncultured bacterium. Its description in RNAcentral is "partial 16S ribosomal RNA". It matches the Rfam family "Bacterial small subunit ribosomal RNA", at positions 524 to 776 of the family's 1533-position model. The record is from RNAcentral.
UACGAAGGGGGCUAGCGUUGUUCGGAAUCACUGGGCGUAAAGCGCACGUAGGCGGAUUUGUAAGUCAGGGGUGAAAUCCCGGGGCUCAACCUCGGAACUGCCUUUGAUACUGCAAGUCUCGAGUCCGGAAGAGGUGAGUGGAACUCCUAGUGUAGAGGUGAAAUUCGUAGAUAUUAGGAAGAACACCAGUGGCGAAGGCGGCUCACUGGUCCGGAUCUGACGCUGAGGUGCGAAAGCGUGGGGAGCAAACAGG